GAGCAAAUACACCCGGCUGCACAGCUGCCCGGAAGCUGACCUCUGAGGGACAGCCGGGCUGUGUACCCGGCGCUUCUCCACCUGGCCACAAGUGGAAAUCACCUGGGAAAUUCUGUGGUGGCCACGUACACCUGGACAUCACAGUGCUGAUGGGCAGGCCAGAGAAGGGAGAGUCUUAACUACAACACCUGUGUUGCAGGACAAAAGCCAACCCGCUCUCUACUCUCAAAUUGGCUGCUAUUCGCGAUUCCUGAAUCAGAUGACAGGCCAUGCACAAAACAACACAGCUUGGAGCCUGCGAGCAGACUCACCAGCCCCCAGCACACCCUCUUGCACACCACCAGCUCCUUGGCCAGAACUUCACCACCACCACCAGCAGCUUCACCUACAACCUCAGGUUCCUGUUCGUCCUCCUUUUUCCAUUUGCCCUUCUGCCCGUUCCUGCUGCUCCUAACAUCAUCAAUAAAUGCAGCUACUUACCACGUACCAUAUGCUUGGCAAUUCUUCCCUUGAAUAAGAACUUGGACUAUUCUUGGGCCUUUCAACUGUAACCGUGGCACAUGCCUGUAAUCCCAGCUACUCAGGAGGCUGAAGCAGCAAGACUUCAAGUUCGAGUCCAGACUGGACAACUGAAU
RNAcentral lists this long non-coding RNA (635 nucleotides) under Fukomys damarensis (Damara mole-rat). Its description in RNAcentral is "lncRNA (ENSFDAG00000033241.1)". The record is from RNAcentral. Lineage: Eukaryota; Metazoa; Chordata; Mammalia; Rodentia; Bathyergidae.